This 253-nucleotide ribosomal RNA is filed under the name uncultured bacterium. RNAcentral's name for it is "partial 16S ribosomal RNA". It matches the Rfam family "Bacterial small subunit ribosomal RNA", at positions 524 to 776 of the family's 1533-position model. The record is from RNAcentral.
UACGGGGGGGGCAAGCGUUGUUCGGAAUUACUGGGCGUAAAGGGCUCGUAGGCGGCCAACUAAGUCAGACGUGAAAUCCCUCGGCUUAACCGGGGAACUGCGUCUGAUACUGGAUGGCUUGAGUUUGGGAGAGGGAUGCGGAAUUCCAGGUGUAGCGGUGAAAUGCGUAGAUAUUGGGAGGAACACCUGAGGCGAAGGCGGGCUACUGGGCCGAUACUGACGCUGAUGCGCGAAAGCCAGGGGAGCGAACGGG